Molecule: ribosomal RNA, 522 nt
Filed under: uncultured bacterium
Lineage: Bacteria
Description: bacterial SSU rRNA
Rfam family: Bacterial small subunit ribosomal RNA
Source: RNAcentral
AGUUUGAUCUGGCUCAGGAUGAACGCUAGCUACAGGACUUAACACAUGCAAGUCGAGGGGCAGCAUUAGAUUAGCUUGCUAAUCUAGAGUGGCGACCGGCGCACGGGUGAGUAACGCGUAUCCAACCUGCCCCCUACCCGGGGAUAGCCUUGCGAAAGUAAGAUUAAUACCCGGUGCUGUUAUGAUUCCGCAUGGGAAUAUAACGAAAGAUUCAUCGGUAGGGGAUGGGGAUGCGUCCGAUUAGCUUGUUGGCGGGGUAACGGCCCACCAAGGCGACGAUCGGUAGGGGUUCUGAGAGGAAGGUCCCCCACAUUGGAACUGAGACACGGUCCAAACUCCUACGGGAGGCAGCAGUGAGGAAUAUUGGUCAAUGGGCGAGAGCCUGAACCAGCCAAAAGUAGCGUGAAGGAAGACUGCCCUACGGGUUGUAAACUUCUUUUGUACGGGAAUAAAGUUGGCCACGUGUGGCUUUUUGCAUGUACCGUACGAAUAAGGACCGGCUAAUUCCGUGCCAGCCGCAGC